AACGAACGCUGGCGGCAUGCCUAACACAUGCAAGUCGAACGAGACCUUCGGGUCUAGUGGCGCACGGGUGCGUAACGCGUGGGAAUCUGCCCUUGGGUACGGAAUAACAGUUAGAAAUGACUGCUAAUACCGUAUAAUGACUUCGGUCCAAAGAUUUAUCGCCCAGGGAUGAGCCCGCGUAGGAUUAGCUUGUUGGUGAGGUAAAGGCUCACCAAGGCGACGAUCCUUAGCUGGUCUGAGAGGAUGAUCAGCCACACUGGGACUGAGACACGGCCCAGACUCCUACGGGAGGCAGCAGUGGGGAAUAUUGGACAAUGGGGAACCCUGAUCCAGCAAUGCCGCGUGAGUGAUGAGGGCCUUAGGGUU
Molecule: ribosomal RNA, 366 nt
Filed under: uncultured bacterium
Lineage: Bacteria
Description: bacterial SSU rRNA
Rfam family: Bacterial small subunit ribosomal RNA
Source: RNAcentral